CCAACAAACCGCACGAAAUCUCUAAAUGUCGCUGAUUUUUCCCUGGACAACUUAAUUGCCACCUGCAUACAAAUAUAAGAAAUGUCAAAAUUAACAACUUUCAGAAUAAGAAAUCUAAUCGUAGUUUUGAAAACAUGAAUAAUUUCAUGUGUUAAAGUGAAAACGAGUAGUUAAGAUCCCUUUUAGAUUACGCACCAACAAACAGUCUGAGCUUUAUAGAAUAUUUAAUGUGAAAAUUGGAAGUUUGAAAUAAACAGCGUGAUUAAAAAAGUGAAGUGCUUGAUAAGGUGUAAUGGUUUCUUAAUGUGAAAUGUAAACAUGUAGUGUUGUGUUAGUAAACUGCAGGAAAUGACGAUUAA
This is a long non-coding RNA of Aethina tumida (small hive beetle), 359 nucleotides long. RefSeq lists it as uncharacterized. The record is from RefSeq and is a predicted model, not a curated record. NCBI's taxonomy places the organism in Eukaryota, Metazoa, Arthropoda, Insecta, Coleoptera, Nitidulidae. The transcript is spliced from 2 exons.